Molecule: ribosomal RNA, 3150 nt
Filed under: Triticum aestivum (bread wheat)
Lineage: Eukaryota; Viridiplantae; Streptophyta; Magnoliopsida; Poales; Poaceae
Description: partial small subunit ribosomal RNA
Source: RNAcentral
AUGGUAGAGGAGAAGAGGGAGAGGGCGGAGGAGGUGUCCGACAGCCCGCAGAAAUCUCCGCGCCUGGACCCGCUGGCUGCGGCCGUGGCAGGUCCUGAAUGCAGCGACGCGCCUGCGUCUCCGACGGAGUCGAGCGACGAGUGGCCAUCGUCCGGGGAAUCGGAAGCGGGGACCAGCAGCGACAGUACCGGCGACGGCGGGCGGUGCGAGCACAUACGCUUGGACCGCGAACUCCUGGAUAUGCACGUGUAUUAUCUCACGGAGCAGCGGGCGGUGCUCCGGACGUGCCAUCUUAGUAAGUGCAAGACGACCUGCAAGGGCAACGAAGGGAUGAUGAAGUGCAUAGACUGCUCCAGAUUCUUCUGCUCUGGGUGGCCGGUGAACAGGGAAAGUCCGCAGGAACAUGCCCUCUGGCACGCCGGCGAGAACACGCAUUGGGUUGCUCAGUGGUGCGAUGAACCGAAUUUGGGAUACUGCUUCUUGUGUGCGCGCGGUAUGAGGCUCAGUGACCGGAGCGAAGAUGACUAUGCAGUGGCGGCCAGAAACAAAAAGGAUCAGCAAGGACUGGGGGAUAGCGUUGCAAAGGAUGGGUGCGAGACGGGGGGCAAGAACCCGCAGAACCCUGAGAACCUGGACCUGCCUGCGUCCAAGGCACCUGUGUUGUUGAGCGAGUCGCCAUCGACGGGGGAAGCGGAGGAGACCAGCGACUGCACAUACGACAUUGGGUCGUGCGAGCACUUGUUCAAGGACAGGGAGGAGCUGGAUGAUAUGGUGCUUGAUAUCAAGACCGCCGAGAAGCUCCCAGAGUGCGAGCAUUUCCUGUGCACGACCACCUGCACCUGGAGGGGAGCUGCUGCUAGGUUCAUGGUGUGCACGGAGUGCACCUCUACUUUCUGCACCGGGGAGAAGGGGGGCAUGGAAAAUCCGCAGGGACACGCCCGCUUGCACGCCACCAGGGACUACCAUUGGGUUGCUCUGUGGUACGAUGAACCGUAUAAGGGCUACUGCUUCGAGUGUGGGCACGUUCUGAAGCUCGGUCAGGACAAGCUGAGCGAUGAUGAGUGGGCAGCUCUGGCCAGAAAUAAAAGGGUUGAGCGGGCAAUGUUGGCCAGCAAUGGAUGGGAUGUGUGGGGAAUGGUGCCCGAGAGUUAUGCAAAGGAUUUGUGGGCAAUAGUGACCGGCAAUGAUUCGUCUGGGUAUGCUAAUGGGAAUGGCUGUGUUAUCAGAGGGUUGCCGAAUCUUGGAAACACAUGCUACAUGAAUGCACUGCUUCAGUGCCUCCUUGCGCUCGGUGAGCUGAGGACAACGAUUUUAGGACCGGGUGCUCGGCUGGGGAGCAUUGGUCUGCACCUGAAGCAAUUAUUUGUGGAGACAAGCAGCACAAAUGAUGCCAGGCACGCGCUGGAUCCAGAGAUGCUAUUGGAAUGUAUGCGGGUGUUUAAUCCACAGUUCAAGGGCUCUUAUAUGCAGGACAGCCAAGAAUUUCUUACAUCUUUGCGCACUGCUUUGGAGGAGGAGACGAAGAACCUAAACAAAUUUCAUGGGGGUGCAGAGUUUCGUCCAAUUGGCAAUUCCAUUUUCGGGGGCUGGCUGCGUCAGACCUUAUACUGCAUAAGUUGCUCAACUAAAUCAGUUUUGGAUCUGCAAUUCGAGGAGCUCCAACUGGCACUGCCAUCAAAGGAUUGUCCAGCCAGAAGUGUUACGUUACCACCAAUGGCCAGAAGCGGUGGAUCUCCGACGAAGACUCGUAAGGCACUAUUCCAACAAACCGACAUGACUGAUGGAGAAAAGAUUCAAACAAUUGCUGAAGGCUGUGAUUCUCAGUUUCCUGGUUCUGAAUUUGGAGAUGAGGCCAUGGAGAAAAUACCCAAGCCUUCACAAGUUGAUUCUACUAAAGUGGAGGAUGUUGCACACGGCCGUUUGCAGACUCAGAAGAAUGAUGUCCCACGAGAGAUCAUUGAAGUGCCAAUAAAAGCUCUUGAUUUCAUUCCUAACUUGUUUGAUGACACUGAAGGAAUGGAUGAAUCAAUAGUAGAUCCUCACAGUCCAAAAGAUACUGGUCCACCUCCACUUGUUGACAUAGAAGCCAAGGAGAACACUUACUCAGUAGAACCUACUACAGAAGACAAGGGGAGAGCUCAAAUCAGUGAUAUUACUGAUGACGAGGCAGUACAUAUGAACUCUGUUGCAUCGCUCGAGGACUGCUUGACACUUCUUUGCUAUUGUCCAAUGGGAUGGAAAUGCGGUAACUGUUCCAAGGUUGUUGAGCUGCCGAGAACAAAUGGAAGUGAAAAUGGUGAACCGAUGAUAGCAAGUACCAAUGCAAAUCCAACAGUUGAAGGAGACCAGACUGAACUAUCAGACAGGAAAACAUGCCCAAGUGAGCGAUCUAAUGAUUUGAAUAGCUUGUCGGUAGAAUGUAAUUCUCCAAGUAGACAACCACAUGGUUCAGAUGCACAUCAUCAAGUUAUUCUUUCUGAGAACAGAGUUUGUGAAGAAAUCACUUCAGGGAUGAGCUAUGAUGAAAAGAACUCGGCCUCUUGCUGCACUACCAAUAGAAAACCUGAAAGUCAGGAAGGUGUUCAGGAAGCUGCACCUAGUUCCUUUCCAACUCAUAAACAGACUGACCUGUUGAGUACCCAGGGUAAUCAGGAUACCAGCAAAGGCACUGGGAAGCAGGUAAAGCUGGAUGAUCAUAGUGCACAACAAGCGGAAGAAAACCAAAGUGAGCAGAAACAUGGGACUGGUGGUUUUCAAAUACAAUUGGUUACUAAGCUGCCACCUGUACUAACCAUUCAACUGAAGCGAUUCACCAAUGCUCUUUCUAAAACGAGAGGACAUGUGAGCUUUAAGGAGAUUCUUCAUGUAGAACCGUUCAUGGACCCCAGUUCCGAGGACAAAGGUAACUCCAGCUAUCGCCUAGUCGGUGUCAUUGUGCACCAUGGCCACGCCUUGAAUGUAGGGCACUACGUUGCUUAUGUGAGGGCAGGUCGCAAGGAGCAGAGCAGUGGUUCUUCCUUAUGGGUUUGCGCAACCGAUCGCGACAUCAAGGAAGUUCCCCUAGAAGAAGUUCUCGGGUGUGAGGCGUACAUGCUUUUCUAUGAGAGGAUGGAUGACCGAGGCAUAUCUGGGAGCCUACCCACCAACUAA